AUGUGUAUACACGUCUCGUUCCGAGGCUGUCGGUAUUUUUGUUAAAAUCAAACGUACGCUUCGCGUGUGAUUGUGAUAAUUUCUGUUAGUGUGUGAAGUGAAGGGUUAUAUCAAUCUUGAUCCUGAUAUUACUUACGCCAAUGACAAACCAGCCCGAACGACGAUGGUUCGUCGUCGAUUGAUUAAAGAACCAUGACGUUGUAAACUGUGAGAAAGCAAAAAGUUGACUGCUUCAGUCAUCCGUGGAAUGGUUCGUUCGAUCGAACGCUUUCAACGAUAGUGGACGCCGAGUUCUGACAAUGUAUAGAAGUCGAGCGAGCCUUUCCAGAAAUUUUCCGCGAACAACGAUGGAAUAUCAAGUCGCGAGCUGUUGCAAAUGUAUCGCAAAUUGUCGUUGCGAAGUGCUUAAUGCAGGAGGAGGCGAGGUGGUUGGCCGUCGAGGUGGCGGAACACGAGGAGCCGAGGAGGAUUGGGUGGCCAUCAGAAAUCUGCAUCGGUACAUUCGGCUCGAAUGUAGAUCCACCGCGAUGCAGUAACAUAAUGGCCCCAACAAGCCACGAGGGGUUGGGUCGGUGGCUCGGUUGCCCUCAAAUCAUCACGGGGGUGUGAGGCAAAUGACGUUCGGCCACGCGGAAGUAACGCGAUAAUGGCAGCCAUGAAAGGCCUCGUCGCGAUAUCUGGUGCUUUGAUGUCCUCUCUCGAAGCUACUCGCUGAAAAUCCAUUCUUUUCCAUCAACACUUUAAAUCCUUGAACCAAUGCGCCUGCUGAACGACGUUUCGUUCUAUCGAUCGUCGCUUUAUUACGAUCUGGAUGACGUAAUGAUCGCAAUAAAAGUAUCCUCUCUAUAUGAUUGCAAUACUCUUCGAACUAGACCUUUCAAGCUAUUCAGUCCAUCGCAGUUGGAUUCAGUAGAACGAUCUAAGUUAGCAAUUCGUGUCACAAAUUUUAAUUUUAAUUGGAAAAUUAACGCAUUAACUAGGCUCAAAGAUAAUUAAAUACUUCAUCGUCGCUAUUAACACAACGUUGCGUCAAUAGCAACGCCUGUUCGUUAAUCUCUAUCCAUAAACGGAAGGGUGAGUUUUAUUCAAGACACUCCGCGAUACCAGAUCGAUGAUUGUAAAGAAGAAAACGUAGUUCCCACUUUGCCCAGUCGGUCGGAUCAUUACAGUAUCCUUCGAACGCUCUGCUCUCUAUUUAUCAAACUCUCCCGCGGAACCCCUCGCUGUUCCAUUGAACCAGCUCGCCACUUACCGAUCUCGCGAAGAUCAAUUCCGAAAAGCAUCGUUUUUUUCUCUCCACCUUUGCAAAAGGAGUAGCAAGAGGCGAAAUUACAUCUCGAACGGGCCGAGGUCGCAGUCUACCGGAACACAGAGACUCGUCCGUAGUCGCAGUUUGUCGGCCAAUGGGACCAGACAGAAACGCAAUCGCAAUGCAGGCCAAUCCCUCUGCCCCGUUCGUCCACCCGCUCGCUCGCCCUCCCGUUCCCGGUAAUGACAAUCAUUACGGGGAAUGAUUGCAGCGUCGGGUCCGCCAGCGCGCCAGCCGCUAUUGGGGGAUGGAAACCACCUUAUAGAGUCUCUCCUCGGUCCUCGAUGCGAGCGGAUUGUCACAUGCUCCCGGCGCGGCAAAGUGUUUCCUCUUCGUCGCGGCCUUCCAUCGUCCUGGCUACGCGAUCGAAAAAAGAAGAAAAGGUUGGACGAUCGCGUGGAAAGGGAAUAAGAAGAUUCCCAGUGGCGCCUGGAAUUACGUCUGGACGAGAACCAAUACCACGCUCGAUCACGUGUACUCGAAGAGGAUUUUGAAAGAGCGUCGUUCUUCGGACCCUUCGAUCGGAGUGUGAUGAAACUGGGUCAGGUGGUUCUUUGAAAUUCGUGGGGAAAUGGAAGCGACGGCCAGUGCACAAGUGCAUUUUGGGGCGUUUAUAAAGACAGUUUAAUUUUUGGAAAAUUUCUUGGGCAUCUGUGAUCAAUGGAGAUGGGUGUUUUAUAAUGGAAAACUGGAAAGACUGGAACUUGGAAGAUUGGAAAGUUUUUAGAAACGACUGUUUUAUGCUGAAGAGGACACAAUUUCUCGAAUAUAAGGAGUUUGUGCGACGGUAAUCGUGAUGGGAGAAGAAUAUGGCGGCCGAGACACCACGUGACUGCCCUCUGCAUGACAGGUCCAUGGAUCCUCAAGCUGUGUCGGUCACUGGAGACCCGCCAAGUUUACCGAAACUUUGCAAUACCAUGGACACACGAAGUUUGGCCUUAAUCGUCGUUUGAAAACCGAUCGUUCCCCAGACUCUAUCAAUUCCUUCGUCCAUUGGUCGACAAAAGCCCUGAACAAUAUUCAUGGUGCAGCUACGCCGACACGUGAACAGGGGGGAAGGAAAAAAGGUGAAAAAAAAGAGAAGCGGAACCUUGAACCAAUCGUAAAUGGCGAACGGAGUGAAAGCGGUCGGUCUCCGCGGUUUUCCCAGAAGAGCGCGAGCCACGAAAUUAUCGACCUGUAAAUCGGAACGAAGGAUCUCGUUUCUUACUCGACCGCCGUAAACUCGAAUAUACGUCGUGGAAAAACGACCGCAGGAAAAUAGAACGUACAUUUGAAAUGGACCGAAGUUCAGAUGGCGAUACUGAUAACAAGAACCUCUAAUCGCGGACGGAUCUACUUCAUCAAUCAAAAUGGAACUGAACGUUGCAUAAAAAUGCUCGGCUCGUGUCAUCCGUUCCGUUGGAUUACAAACGAUGGUACAAACAUCGACCAUUGAUUCUCCAUGAUUUCCAUCGGUGACGUCCCUUCGUGAUGGGAGAAAGCUC
RNA transcript from Osmia bicornis bicornis, 2796 nucleotides. RefSeq lists it as uncharacterized. The record is from RefSeq and is a predicted model, not a curated record. NCBI's taxonomy places the organism in Eukaryota, Metazoa, Arthropoda, Insecta, Hymenoptera, Megachilidae. The transcript has 4 exons.